Molecule: ribosomal RNA, 468 nt
Filed under: uncultured bacterium
Lineage: Bacteria
Description: partial 16S ribosomal RNA
Rfam family: Bacterial small subunit ribosomal RNA
Source: RNAcentral
AACGAACGCUGGCGGCGUGCUUAACACAUGCAAGUCGAACGGAAAGGCCCUGCGUUUGUGGGUUUCUCGAUUGGCGAGCGGGGGAGUAACACGUGAGUAACCUGCCCUUGACUUUGGGAUAACUUCAGGAAACUGGGGCUAAUACCGGAUAUGAUCUCCUGCUGCAUGGUGGUGGUUGGAAAGUUUCGGCGGUUGGGGAUGGACUCGCGGCUUAUCAGCUUGUUUGUGGGGUAGUGGCUUACCAAGGCUUUGACGGGUAGCCGGCCUGAGAGGGUGACCGGCGACAUUGGUACUGAGAUAGGGACCAGAAUCCAAUGGGAGGCAGUAGUGGAGAACAUUGCACAAUAGGCCGACGCCUGAUGCAGCAACGUCGCGAGCGGGAUGACCGCCUUCGGGUUGUAAACAGCUUUCGCCUGUGACGAAGCGUGAGUGACGGUAAUGGGUCAAGAAGCAACGGCUAACUACGUG